GUGAAUCAUCGAAUUUUUGAACGCAAAUUGCACUCUCCUCGGAGAGGAUGCCUGUUUGAGGGUCAGCCUAUAAAAAAUCGACAUCGUUGCUGUUUCUCGCUGUCGUUCUGCGGAAAUGGGGUCAUCUUAAUUCUUUUGGGUUUAAGCGACUUAAAAUUUUCUUUUUUUUUCCAUGAACGUGUUUCUGAGAUUUAUUUCUUUAUACGUUUAAGUGAUCGUUUUU
This 223-nucleotide unclassified non-coding RNA is filed under the name Glomus sp. RNAcentral describes it as "partial contains 5.8S ribosomal RNA and internal transcribed spacer 2". The stretch from base 1 to 65 matches the Rfam family "5.8S ribosomal RNA", at positions 84 to 154 of the family's 154-position model. Lineage: Eukaryota; Fungi; Glomeromycota; Glomeromycetes; Glomerales; Glomeraceae. The record is from RNAcentral.